UACGUAGGUGGCAAGCGUUGUCCGGAUUUACUGGGCGUAAAGGGUGCGUAGGUGGUUGGGUAAGUUUGAUGUGAAAUCUCCGGGCUUAACCCGGAAAUGGCAUUGAAUACUAUUCGGCUAGAGGUUUGGAGGGGGGACUGGAAUUCUUGGUGUAGCAGUGAAAUGCGUAGAUAUCAAGAGGAACACCAGUGGCGAAGGCGAGUCCCUGGACAACACCUGACACUGAGGCACGAAAGCUAGGGGAGCAAACAGG
Molecule: ribosomal RNA, 253 nt
Filed under: uncultured bacterium
Lineage: Bacteria
Description: partial 16S ribosomal RNA
Rfam family: Bacterial small subunit ribosomal RNA
Source: RNAcentral